CCUACGGGUGACAGCAGUGAGGAAUAUUGGUCAAUGGCCGGAAGGCUGAACCAGCCAUGCCGCGUGAAGGUCAGUGCCCUAUGGGCGUUAAACUUCUUUUGUGCGGGAGCAAUAAUGGUCACGUGUGGCCAGACGAGAGUACCGUACGAAUAAGCAUCGGCUAACUCCGUGCCAGCAGCCGCGGUAAUACGGGGGAUGCAAGCGUUAUCCGGAUUUAUUGGGUUUAAAGGGUGCGUAGGCUGUGAGGUAAGUCAGCGGUGAAAUGCCCCCGCUCAACGGGGUGAAGUGCCAUUGAUACUGUCGUGCUGGAAUGCGGAUGCCGUGGGAGGAAUGUGUGGUGUAGCGGUAAAAUGCAUAGAUAUCAAACAGAACACUGAUUGCGAAGGUGUCUCACGAAUCCGCGAUUGACGCUGAUGCACGACAGCGUGGGUAUCAAACAGGAUUAGAUACCCUUGUAGUC
RNAcentral lists this ribosomal RNA (460 nucleotides) under uncultured bacterium. RNAcentral describes it as "partial 16S ribosomal RNA". It matches the Rfam family "Bacterial small subunit ribosomal RNA", at positions 338 to 795 of the family's 1533-position model. The record is from RNAcentral.